AAAGCUCUUAUGCAAGCACAGAAGUGUUUGCACAAAAGUUUGUUGUGUCUCCAGUCUACGCAGGUGCAGUUUGGAAGCGUUUGUUCAUCACCAAAAAGUACGAUAUGGUGCUCCUUCCCUGUUGAACUUUUUACUUCAAAGACCCCUGGGGACACCAUGUGGACCAUGUCUUUGCUAAUGUCACUAUCCCAACGCUUCAUAAUAUGAGACACCAUUCUGGCAGGUCUGUUGUGCAGAAAUUUUGGAAGUUCCUCAUUAUAAGCACGAAUCCAAAGAUGACUAAAGUCUACAGUAAGUGCCGCUGUAGUUAGCCUAAUCACACCUUUCAAUAAUUUGUUAAUUAAGCAGUUGUUUUUUCAAAAGAAGGGGCCUGUGUCACACAACAAAAACCCUACGAAAUGAAUUUUUCCUUCAAAACUGGUAUUUUUUCGUUAUAAAAACAUAGAAUCAUUAUAGUAUUGUGAAGUAUUAAAAAUUUUACUUUUUGAAGGUAUUUGGGAGAAACCGAUCAACAAGUGCUGUCAGCAUAUCACUUAAGGAGCACCCUUUAUUCCCAUGGAGGUACUCAUAUUUGAAUGCCUUAUUCUGUCUUUCAAUGCCAUUGUUCGUGUUCACUGCACAAAUGAAAUCUUCUGUCCGAUACGCUUGACACCAUCUCUGUAAGAAAACGAUCAAUACAGUAUAUUUUGCAUGUUCUGCUAGUACAUAGUAUUUUAUUUGAGAUUAUGAAAUAAUACAACGAUAUAAGCCCUGGA
Xenia sp. Carnegie-2017 is the source of this 755-nucleotide long non-coding RNA. RefSeq lists it as uncharacterized. The record is from RefSeq and is a predicted model, not a curated record. Lineage: Eukaryota; Metazoa; Cnidaria; Anthozoa; Malacalcyonacea; Xeniidae. The transcript has 2 exons.